Molecule: ribosomal RNA, 468 nt
Filed under: uncultured bacterium
Lineage: Bacteria
Description: partial 16S ribosomal RNA
Rfam family: Bacterial small subunit ribosomal RNA
Source: RNAcentral
GACGAACGCUGGCGGCGUGCUUAACACAUGCAAGUCGAACGGAAAGGCCCUGCUUUUGUGGGGUGCUCGAGUGGCGAACGGGUGAGUAACACGCGAGUAACCUGCCCUUGACUUUGGGAUAACUCCAGGAAACUGGGGCUAAUACCGGAUAGGAGCUCCUGCUGCAUGGUGGGGGUUGGAAAGUUUCGGCGGUUGGGGAUGGACUCGCGGCUUAUCAGCUUGUUGGUGGGGUAGUGGCUUACCAAGGCUUUGACGGGUAGCCGGCCUGAGAGGGUGACCGGCCACAUUGGGACUGAGAUGCGGCCCAGACUCCUACGGGAGGCAGGAGUGGGAAAUAUUGCACGAUGGGCGGAAGCCUGAUGCAGCAACGCCGCGUGCGGGAUGACGGCCUUCGGGUUGUAAACCGCUUUCGCCUGUGACGAAGCGUGAGUGACGGUAAUGGGUAAAGAAGCACCGGCUAACUACGUG